RNAcentral lists this long non-coding RNA (1102 nucleotides) under Astyanax mexicanus (Mexican tetra). RNAcentral's name for it is "lncRNA (ENSAMXG00005004800.1)". Lineage: Eukaryota; Metazoa; Chordata; Actinopteri; Characiformes; Acestrorhamphidae. The record is from RNAcentral.
CACAACAACCACCACACCCACAAAGUCCACAGCAACCAUAACUACAACCACCACACUGACAACAACCACCACGCCCACAAAGCCCACAACAACUACAACCACUACACUCACAACUACAACCACCACACCAACAACAACCACCACACCCACAAAGCCCACAACUACAACCACCACAAAGCCCACAACUACAACCACCACACCGACAACAACCACCACACCCACAAAUCCCACAACUACAACCACUACACCCGCAACUACAACCACCACACCCACAAAGCCCACAACUACAACCACCACACCGACAACAACCACCACACCCACAACAACCAUGACAACUACAACCACAACGACCACAACAACUACAACCACAAGGACCACGCCCACAACUACAAUAACCACAACAACCCCAACUACUACAACUACUAAACCUACCACAGUUACUAUAAUAACUGAUCCCCCAAACCUCAAGGAAGAGCAGCCAGUGUCUCUCACCUUCAAUCUCGUUAAAGAGUUCACAAGUGAGCUUCAGGACAGCAUGUCACCUGUCUACAUAAACCUGGUUUAUAUAGUCAUUAUACAGAUUAACAUCAUUUAUCAAGCCAGAUUUCCAUUAACCUACAAACGAUGCAUCAUCAACGGUUUUACGAAAGGAUCAGUUAUAGUAGAUUCAACACUCGUCUUCUCCAACGAAACACUCCCCACCGAUGUCGAGAUUGUAGAAACACUUUACGACGCCUGGCAGGGAAACCAGACUUCCUUGAUUCUUGUAAAUAACACCAUCCAUGUUUUGACUCCAACACCAACACCCGCAGCCACCCCGACCCCGUCUGCCUCCAGUACCUCUCCAGAGAUGCUGCUAUUUUCAGCAAUGGCUCUGCUAAUCACAACUGCUCUUUUAAUAUUACAUAACCUUUCAUUAGUAUAGCAUAUAAUAAUAUAGGACUUCUGGCCCCGUUCCACCAUUCCCAAACCUCUAAAAAAAAUCCAAAAGAAUCCAGGCAUUUAAAUGUAUUUAUGAAGCUUAGAAGCUAAUAUUAAAUUACAUUUACCUGAGUUUUGAAAUUUGUAAAUAAAAAUACAUACUUCAGAUUUUAAAAAUUCA